Molecule: ribosomal RNA, 783 nt
Filed under: uncultured bacterium
Lineage: Bacteria
Description: bacterial SSU rRNA
Rfam family: Bacterial small subunit ribosomal RNA
Source: RNAcentral
CGGCGCACGGGUGAUUAACGCGUAUCCAACCUGCCCACCACUUGGGGAUAACCUUGCGAAAGUAAGACUAAUACCCAAUGACGUCCAUAGAAGACAUCUGAAAUGGAUUAAAGAUUUAUCGGUGAUGGAUGGGGAUGCGUCUGAUUAGCUUGUUGGCGGGGUAACGGCCCACCAAGGCGACGAUCAGUAGGGGUUCUGAGAGGAAGGUCCCCCACAUUGGAACUGAGACACGGUCCAAACUCCUACGGGAGGCAGCAGUGAGGAAUAUUGGUCAAUGGGCGAGAGCCUGAACCAGCCAAGUAGCGUGCAGGAUGACGGCCCUAUGGGUUGUAAACUGCUUUUAUAAGGGAAUAAAGUGAGUCUCGUGAGACUUUUUGCAUGUACCUUAUGAAUAAGGACCGGCUAAUUCCGUGCCAGCAGCCGCGGUAAUACGGAAGGUCCGGGCGUUAUCCGGAUUUAUUGGGUUUAAAGGGAGCGUAGGCCGGAGAUUAAGCGUGUUGUGAAAUGUAGAUGCUCAACAUCUGCACUGCAGCGCGAACUGGUUUCCUUGAGUACGCACAAAGUGGGCGGAAUUCGUGGUGUAGCGGUGAAAUGCUUAGAUAUCACGAAGAACUCCGAUUGCGAAGGCAGCUCACUGGAGCGCAACUGACGCUGAAGCUCGAAAGUGCGGGUAUCGAACAGGAUUAGAUACCCUGGUAGUCCGCACGGUAAACGAUGGAUGCCCGCGGUUGGUCUGAAUAGGUCAGCGUCCAAGCGAAUCCGGAAAGCAUCCCACCUGGGGGU